GAUGAACGCUGGCGGCGUGCCUAAUACAUGCAAGUCGAGCGAACGGACGAGAAGCUUGCUUCUCUGAUGUUAGCGGCGGACGGGUGAGUAACACGUGGAUAACCUACCUAUAAGACUGGGAUAACUUCGGGAAACCGGAGCUAAUACCGGAUAAUAUUUUGAACCGCAUGGUUCAAAAGUGAAAGACGGUCUUGCUGUCACUUAUAGAUGGAUCCGCGCUGCAUUAGCUAGUUGGUAAGGUAACGGCUUACCAAGGCAACGAUGCAUAGCCGACCUGAGAGGGUGAUCGGCCACACUGGAACUGAGACACGGUCCAGACUCCUACGGGAGGCAGCAGUAGGGAAUCUUCCGCAAUGGGCGAAAGCCUGACGGAGCAACGCCGCGUGAGUGAUGAAGGUCUUCGGAUCGUAAAACUCUGUUAUUAGGGAAGAACAUAUGUGUAAGUAACUGUGCACAUCUGGACGGUACCUAAUCAGAAAGCCACGGCUAACUACGUG
This 497-nucleotide ribosomal RNA is filed under the name uncultured bacterium. Its description in RNAcentral is "partial 16S ribosomal RNA". It matches the Rfam family "Bacterial small subunit ribosomal RNA", at positions 28 to 507 of the family's 1533-position model. The record is from RNAcentral.